This 208-nucleotide long non-coding RNA is filed under the name Elaeis guineensis (African oil palm). RNAcentral's name for it is "long non-coding RNA (EGUI_LNC058856)". Lineage: Eukaryota; Viridiplantae; Streptophyta; Magnoliopsida; Arecales; Arecaceae. The record is from RNAcentral.
AUGACGUGUAAGGGUGCCGAUUGUGAUAUUUUUCAUGAAGAUGAAUCGUGAAUAAAAAAUUUAUAUAUAAUAUAUAUUUUACAUUUAAAUCAGAUUAUGUAUGUAUUUUUAUAUAUUUUAGAUCAUUAAAAUAUUAUAUUUGAUAUAUUAUUUUGACACAUGAUCUAAAACUUAAUUUUUGCAAAAUUCUAGAUCCAAAACUCUAGGC